UAGGGAAUCUUCCGCAAUGGACGCAAGUCUGACGGAGCAACGCCGCGUGAGUGAAGAAGGUUUUCGGAUCGUAAAGCUCUGUUGUUAAGGAAGAACGAGUGUGAGAAUGGAAAGUUCAUACUGUGACGGUACUUAACCAGAAAGGGACGGCUAACUACGUGCCAGCAGCCGCGGUAAUACGUAGGUCCCGAGCGUUGUCCGGAUUUAUUGGGCGUAAAGCGAGCGCAGGCGGUUAGAUAAGUCUGAAGUUAAAGGCAGUGGCUCAACCAUUGUACGCUUUGGAAACUGUUUAACUUGAGUGCAGAAGGGGAGAGUGGAAUUCCAUGUGUAGCGGUGAAAUGCGUAGAUAUAUGGGGGAACACCGGUGGCGAAAGCGGCUCUCUGGUCUGUAACUGACGCUGAGGCUCGAAAGCGUGGGGAGCGAACAGG
Molecule: ribosomal RNA, 429 nt
Filed under: Bacteroidota bacterium
Lineage: Bacteria; Pseudomonadati; Bacteroidota
Description: Bacteroidetes bacterium partial 16S ribosomal RNA
Rfam family: Bacterial small subunit ribosomal RNA
Source: RNAcentral